This 445-nucleotide ribosomal RNA is filed under the name uncultured bacterium. RNAcentral's name for it is "bacterial SSU rRNA". It matches the Rfam family "Bacterial small subunit ribosomal RNA", at positions 354 to 796 of the family's 1533-position model. The record is from RNAcentral.
GUAGGGAAUAUUGGGCAAUGGACGAAAGUCUGACCCAGCCAUGCCGCGUGCAGGAUGACUGUCCUAUGGAUUGUAAACUGCUUUUAUAUGGGAAGAAACCCCUGGAUGCGUCCGGGGCUGACGGUACCAUUUGAAUAAGGAUCGGCUAACUUCGUGCCAGCAGCCGCGGUAAGACGAAGGAUUCAAGCGUUGUCCGGAUUUACUGGGUUUAAAGGGUGCGUAGGCGGAACUUUAAGUCAGUGGUGAAAGCUCUCGGCUCAACCGAGAAAUUGCCAUUGAAACUGAUUUUCUUGAAUACAGUGGAGGUAGAUGGAAUAUAACAUGUAGCGGUGAAAUGCUUAGAUAUGUUAUAGAACACCGAUUGCGAAGGCAGUCUGCUACACUGUCAUUGACGCUGAGGCACGAAAGCGUGGGGAGCGAACAGGAUUAGAUACCCUUGUAGUCC